RNAcentral lists this ribosomal RNA (437 nucleotides) under uncultured Eubacteriales bacterium. RNAcentral describes it as "uncultured Clostridiales bacterium partial 16S ribosomal RNA". It matches the Rfam family "Bacterial small subunit ribosomal RNA", at positions 338 to 794 of the family's 1533-position model. The record is from RNAcentral. Lineage: Bacteria; Bacillati; Bacillota; Clostridia; Eubacteriales.
CCUACGGGAGGCAGCAGUGGGGAAUUUUGCACAAUGGGGGAAACCCUGAUGCAGCGACGCCGCGUGAUUUAGAAGGCCUUCGGGUUGUAAAAAUCUUUUGUAUAGGAAGAAAAUGACAGUACUAUACGAAUAAGGUCCGGCUAAUUACGUGCCAGCAGCCGCGGUAAUACGUAAGGACCGAGCGUUGUCCGGAAUCAUUGGGCGUAAAGGGUACGUAGGCGGUUUUUUAAGUUAGAAGUCAAAGGCUAUAGCUCAACUAUAGUAAGCUUCUAAAACUGGAGAACUUGAGUAAUGGAAGGGAAAGUGGAAUUCCUAGUGUAGCGGUGGAAUGCGCAGAUAUUAGGAGGAAUCCCGGUGGCGAAGGCGACUUUCUGGCCAUUAACUGACGCUGAGGUACGAAAGCGUGGGUAGCAAACAGGAUUAGAUCCCCCGGUAGU